GGAUGGCUCAGUCAGCAGAGCAUGAGGUUCUUAACCUCAAUGUUGUGGGUCUGAGCCCCAUGUUGGGCA
This is a non-coding RNA of Podarcis lilfordi (Lilford's wall lizard), 69 nucleotides long. The record is from the annotation of a GenBank genome assembly. NCBI's taxonomy places the organism in Eukaryota, Metazoa, Chordata, Lepidosauria, Squamata, Lacertidae.